Molecule: long non-coding RNA, 840 nt
Organism: Acinonyx jubatus (cheetah)
Lineage: Eukaryota; Metazoa; Chordata; Mammalia; Carnivora; Felidae
Exons: 2
Source: RefSeq, a predicted model, not a curated record
AGCCCCUGGAGGAGGGGGGAGGAGAGGAGGAUGGGUGCAGUGCAAAAAGAGCGUGAGGCUUAGCUUGUAACCAGGGAGCCUUUUUCUGUCUUCAGGAAAGAAACCCCAGGAAAGCAGGAUGGAGGCAGGUUUCAGCCAGGGCUGCCCUCUGAAGAGCUCCUGAGAACCACAUGUAGGACGAUGAUAGAACAGGCUGGUCCCCUUUCAGGUCUGUGUGGCAUUGUGAUGAUGUCUACAGAACAUCUGGGUUCGGCAUGGAGCAGCCUCUGCUUCGCCGAAAAAUCACAGAAGAAAGGUGGGAGGCUCACAGCCUACAAGAACAACAGGAAGAGCCAGACCUCACUAAUCGGGAAUUUGCAAGAACAUUGACACUGCCUUGAUCCCAAUGAGUAAAAGUUAAAAACUUCUCACUCUCUUUUUAGGUUCUUAUUCAUGAGGGAGAACUAUAGUAAGAAUACACCUUACAUCUGGAUAGCACUUUAGACCUCCUAAAUUCUUUUGUGGAAAUUAUCUAAUUUGAUAUUUGCAAUAACCUUGAGAGGUAGGAAAGAGAUAAGGUCCUCUGGUCAGUCAGCUGCUUCCUGGCUGCCAUCAAAACAAUGGAGGGGUUUCUGAUUCCUAUAGGAGGAGGUCACUGUGAUUAGGCCAGUGCACAGCGCUGUGGAUGCCUGACCCAACAAAGGAAAUGCAGUCUGCUUGGGAGAUCACUCAAUAUCUCCACCUCUCUUCCAGGGGAAGAGAAAUCACCAGCUACCACAGAUCGAGGAAAAAAAAUCCCUUAGAAAAAUAUGCUCCCAAAUGGAAUAAGAUUGAGAGUCUAGAAAUAAACCCUUACAUUUA